GACGAACGCUGGCGGCGUGCUUAACACAUGCAAGUCGAACGAUGAAGCCUAGCUUGCUAGGUGGAUUAGUGGCGAACGGGUGAGUAAUACGUGAGUAACCUACCUUUAACUCUGGGAUAAGCCUGGGAAACUGGGUCUAAUACCGGAUACGACCAAUCUCCGCAUGGGGUGUUGGUGGAAAGCGUUAUGUAGUGGUUAUAGAUGGGCUCACGGCCUAUCAGCUUGUUGGUGAGGUAGCGGCUCACCAAGGCGACGACGGGUAGCCGGCCUGAGAGGGUGACCGGCCACACUGGGACUGAGACACGGCCCAGACUCCUACGGGAGGCAGCAGUGGGGAAUAUUGCACAAUGGGCGCAAGCCUGAUGCAGCGACGCCGCGUGAGGGAUGACGGCCUUCGGGUUGUAAACCUCUGUUAGCAGGGAAGAAGAGAGAUUGACGGUACCUGCAGAGAAAGCGCCGGCUAACUACGUGCCAGCAGCCGCGGUAAUACGUAGGGCGCGAGCGUUGUCCGGAAUUAUUGGGCGUAAAGAGCUUGUAGGCGGUUUGUCGCGUCUGCUGUGAAGGCCGGGGCUUAACCCCGUGUAUUGCAGUGGGUACGGGCAGACUAGAGUGCAGUAGGGGAGACUGGAAUUCCUGGUGUAGCGGUGGAAUGCGCAGAUAUCAGGAGGAACACCGAUGGCGAAGGCAGGUCUCUGGGCUGUAACUGACGCUGAGAAGCGAAAGCAUGGGGAGCGAACAGGAUUAGAUACCCUGGUAGUCCAUGCCGUAAACGUUGGGCACUAGGUGUGGGGGACAUUCCACGUUUUCCGCGCCGUAGCUAACGCAUUAAGUGCCCCGCCUGGGGAGUACGGCCGCAAGGCUAAAACUCAAAGAAAUUGACGGGGGCCCGCACAAGCGGCGGAGCAUGCGGAUUAAUUCGAUGCAACGCGAAGAACCUUACCAAGGCUUGACAUAUACUGGACCGCAUCAGAGAUGGUGUUUCCCUUCGGGGCUGGUAUACAGGUGGUGCAUGGUUGUCGUCAGCUCGUGUCGUGAGAUGUUGGGUUAAGUCCCGCAACGAGCGCAACCCUCGUUCUAUGUUGCCAGCACGUUAUGGUGGGGACUCAUAGGAGACUGCCGGGGUCAACUCGGAGGAAGGUGGGGAUGACGUCAAAUCAUCAUGCCCCUUAUGUCUUGGGCUUCACGCAUGCUACAAUGGCCGGUACAGAGGGUUGCGAUACUGUGAGGUGGAGCUAAUCCCUAAAAGCCGGUCUCAGUUCGGAUUGGGGUCUGCAACUCGACCCCAUGAAGUCGGAGUCGCUAGUAAUCGCAGAUCAGCAACGCUGCGGUGAAUACGUUCCCGGGCCU
This 1347-nucleotide ribosomal RNA is filed under the name uncultured bacterium. RNAcentral describes it as "bacterial SSU rRNA". It matches the Rfam family "Bacterial small subunit ribosomal RNA", at positions 28 to 1381 of the family's 1533-position model. The record is from RNAcentral.